CUUUCCAUGGUGUAUUUAAAGCAGAUGAAUAGAGAAUUAUCCUUUACAGAAGCACAAUAUUUAGUACUUUUUUUUAAGCCUAAUAGGUUACAUAUUUUAUUGCAUCUGGAAUCCCUUAUAUGCAUCAGAUAUUCUGUAACUGUAGCCUAAUAUAGUUCAUGCAAAGCUUGUUCCACUGCGAUCACAUUAACUUUUUUUAUGCUGCCUUUAAGAAAAAAAAUCUUUCUUCCCUCAUGCUUAAAAUCUUUUAACCCGUAAAAAUGUAUUGAGUUUUUUACAAGCACUGAUCUGUAUUUCAGCUGAUGUUCUGAGUGAAGAAGCUAUUCUCAAGUGGUAUAAAGAAGCGCAUGUUGCUAAAGGCAAAAGUGUUUUUCUUGACCAGAUGAAGAAAUUUGUGGAGUGGCUGCAAAAUGCUGAAGAAGAGUCGGAGUCUGAAGGGGAGGAGAACUGAGAUCAACGCACAGUCUCAAUCUAGGUUAAUGCCAAAUGCGCUUGGGAAUGCUGUACUGUUCAAGCAAAGAGGCUUUACUUCAGUGUCAUACAGAAAACUAUAGGCUAGGCUUUCCUUUUGUUUAGAAGAAUAAAGAUUUUUAAUGGAGCCCUGAGGCAUUAGAUGCUUUUCUUGGGACUCUACCUCUGGCUCAUUGUACACUAACUUAGGCAAAGACAUUCAGCAAGGAGCCAUAUAGAAAAAGUGAAAUGAAAUACUUGUGGACUCCUUUUUAUUAACGGUCUUUUUCAGGUACUAUGGUAUAUGAACACUCCAGUUUCUGUUUAUAGAACUGUUUGGUCUGUGUUUGUAGCUCAGUAUUGGCUUGUGUAUGUGAUUUGACACCACCACAUUUUUUUGAAUAAAUGGCUUUUAUAUCUUA
Molecule: long non-coding RNA, 872 nt
Organism: Antrostomus carolinensis (chuck-will's-widow)
Lineage: Eukaryota; Metazoa; Chordata; Aves; Caprimulgiformes; Caprimulgidae
Exons: 2
Source: RefSeq, a predicted model, not a curated record